RNAcentral lists this ribosomal RNA (390 nucleotides) under uncultured bacterium. RNAcentral's name for it is "bacterial SSU rRNA". It matches the Rfam family "Bacterial small subunit ribosomal RNA", at positions 28 to 420 of the family's 1533-position model. The record is from RNAcentral.
GACGAACGCUGGCGGCGUGCUUAACACAUGCAAGUCGAGCGGUAAGGCCCUUUCGGGGGUACACGAGCGGCGAACGGGUGAGUAACACGUGGGUGACCUGCCCUUAGCUCUGGGAUAAGCCUGGGAAACUGGGUCUAAUACCGGAUAUGACUCCAUGACGCAUGUUGUGGGGUGGAAAGCCUUGUGCGGCUAGGGAUGGGCCCGCGGCCUAUCAGCUUGUUGGUGGGGUGAUGGCCUACCAAGGCGACGACGGGUAGCCGGCCUGAGAGGGCGACCGGCCACACUGGGACUGAGACACGGCCCAGACUCCUACGGGAGGCAGCAGUGGGGAAUCUUGCGCAAUGGGCGAAAGCCUGACGCAGCGACGCCGCGUGGGGAUGACGGCCUGGU